UACGUAGGGGGCAAGCGUUGUUCGGAAUUACUGGGCGUAAAGGGCGCGUAGGCGGUACGACAAGUCGGGAGUGAAAGCCCGGGGCUCAACCCCGGGACUGCUUUCGAAACUGUCGAACUUGAGUGCGGAAGAGGCAACUGGAAUUCCCAGUGUAGCGGUGAAAUGCGUAGAUAUUGGGAAGAACACCUGAGGCGAAGGCGGGUUGCUGGGCUGACACUGACGCUGAGGCGCGAAAGCCAGGGGAGCGAACGGG
Molecule: ribosomal RNA, 253 nt
Filed under: uncultured bacterium
Lineage: Bacteria
Description: partial 16S ribosomal RNA
Rfam family: Bacterial small subunit ribosomal RNA
Source: RNAcentral